Non-coding RNA from Cinara cedri, 463 nucleotides. The record is from the annotation of a GenBank genome assembly. NCBI's taxonomy places the organism in Eukaryota, Metazoa, Arthropoda, Insecta, Hemiptera, Aphididae.
ACAAAGAAAAAACAGGUAUUUUGAGCGUACCUAGAGACACAAGCUAUCGUUCCUUCGGACUAUUUUAAUCGCAAAAUACCCUUCGAUUUGUUGUGCAAACUUUUCUUCUAGAAAUCUUGCUCCGAUGUAUCAAGUGUAGCUUAUUAUCUAAAAGGAAAUUUUAUCUCCGUGGUAAUUUAGGGAGACCAUUUUUCGAUUUUCUAAGGAGUUUUCUCAGAAAAUGUGAAAAACCGGUAAAAACAUAGGAAAACCAGGAAAAUCGGUACUAUAUUAAACAAAUAUUAUUAAAGAAAAUAUAUAAUGCACAUUUAAUUAUUUUACUAUAAUAUGACAUAUAUAUUGUUGACAAAGUGUCACUAUCAACUGAACUGCGCUCAGAAUCGUUGUUUCGUUAGCAAUGGUUGAUCGUUGCUUACAGAUAUAUAUUAAAUUACUUAAAACAAUGGCUACACCCGUCUCCAUU